RNAcentral lists this ribosomal RNA (279 nucleotides) under uncultured bacterium. Its description in RNAcentral is "partial 16S ribosomal RNA". It matches the Rfam family "Bacterial small subunit ribosomal RNA", at positions 506 to 784 of the family's 1533-position model. The record is from RNAcentral.
UGCCAGCAGCCGCGGUAAGACGGAGGGUGCAAACGUUGUUCGGAAUCACUGGGCAUAAAGCGCACGAAGGCGGCUCGUUAAGUCCGAUGUGAAAUGCCACGGCUCAACCGUGGAACUGCAUCGGAUACUGGCGAGCUCGAGGAUGGUUGGGGUGAGUGGAACUCCAGGUGGAGCGGUGAAAUGCGUAGAUAUCUGGAGGAACACCGGUGGCGAAAGCGGCUCACUGGACCAUCACUGACGCUGAGGUGCGAAAGCUAGGGUAGCGAACGGGAUUAGAUA